AUUGAACGCUGGCGGCGUGCCUAACACAUGCAAGUCGAGCGGUAACAGGUGUAGCAAUACAUGCUGACGAGCGGCGAACGGGUGAGUAAUGCUUUGGAAUCUUCCCAGUAGUGGGGAAUAACCAGUCGAAAGAUUGGCUAAUACCGCAUACGUCUGUAAAGGGAAAGCGGGGGCUCGUAAGACCUCGCGCUAUCGGAUGAGCCAAAGUCGGAUUAGCUAGNGGUGGGGUAAUGGCCUACCAAGGCGACAAUCCGUAGCUGGUCUGAGAGGACGACCAGCCACACCGGAACUGAGACACGGUCCGGACUCCUACGGGAGGCAGCAGUGGGGAAUAUUGGACAAUGGGGGAAACCCUGAUCCAGCGACGCCGCGUGUGUGAAGAAGGCCUGCGGGUUGUAAAGC
Molecule: ribosomal RNA, 402 nt
Filed under: uncultured bacterium
Lineage: Bacteria
Description: bacterial SSU rRNA
Rfam family: Bacterial small subunit ribosomal RNA
Source: RNAcentral